This 180-nucleotide ribosomal RNA is filed under the name Vulpes vulpes (red fox). RNAcentral's name for it is "partial small subunit ribosomal RNA". The record is from RNAcentral. Lineage: Eukaryota; Metazoa; Chordata; Mammalia; Carnivora; Canidae.
CUAAAUAGUUCUGUAACAAAACAAUUCGCCAGAGAACUACUAGCAACAGCUUAAAACUCAAAGGACUUGGCGGUGCUUUAUAUCCCUCUAGAGGAGCCUGUUCUAUAAUCGAUAAACCCCGAUAAACCUCACCAUCCCUUGCUAAUACAGUCUAUAUACCGCCAUCUUCAGCAAAAUGAA